GACGAACGCUGGCGGCGUGCUUAACACAUGCAAGUCGAACGGAAAGGCCCCUUUGGGGGUACUCGAGUGGCGAACGGGCGGGUAACACGUGCGUAACUUGCCCUUGACUUCGGGUUAACUUCAGGCAAGUGGGGCUAAUACCGGCUAGGUAUCCUUGCCGCCUGGUGGGGGUUGGAAAGCUUCGGUGGUUUGGGAUGGACUGGCGGCGUAUCUGUUUGUUUGUGGGGUGGGGGCUUACCAAGGCUUUGUCGGGUAGCCGGCCUGGGGGGGCGUCCGGCCACAUUGGGGCUGGGAUUCGGCCCAGGCUCCCACCGGGGGCAGCAGGGGGGGAUAAUGCACCAUGGGCGGGAGCCUGAUGCAGGAACCGCGCGGGCGGGAUUACGGCCUUCGGGUUGGAAACCGCUUUCAGCAUGGGCGAAGCUGGUAGUGACGGUACCGGCAGAAGAAGCACCGGCUAACUACGUG
Molecule: ribosomal RNA, 465 nt
Filed under: uncultured bacterium
Lineage: Bacteria
Description: partial 16S ribosomal RNA
Rfam family: Bacterial small subunit ribosomal RNA
Source: RNAcentral